Long non-coding RNA from Myotis davidii, 133 nucleotides. RefSeq lists it as uncharacterized. NCBI's taxonomy places the organism in Eukaryota, Metazoa, Chordata, Mammalia, Chiroptera, Vespertilionidae. The record is from RefSeq and is a predicted model, not a curated record. The transcript is spliced from 3 exons.
AUGUUUAUUAGUAGCCCCGCGCACGAAUCUGUGAGCCAGUAGCCUGCCAGUAGCUUGCUGCCGCCCUCCAGUAGUUCUCCGCCCACUGCCCCGCCCUCCUGAAGCUCCUCCCAUCCCCCCUCAUAGCUUGCAG